Ornithorhynchus anatinus (platypus) is the source of this 929-nucleotide long non-coding RNA. RefSeq lists it as uncharacterized. The record is from RefSeq and is a predicted model, not a curated record. Lineage: Eukaryota; Metazoa; Chordata; Mammalia; Monotremata; Ornithorhynchidae. The transcript is spliced from 3 exons.
UCUGAGGAAGUGCAGAAUUAGCAAAUCCAGGGCAUUUGCUCUCCUGAGUAAUGUGCUUUAUCUGAUAAUGAAAGUUAAGAAACAGAACCCCAUACCAGGAGCCUGUCAGGUUAUUUAAACACAUGAAGGGAGGUUAUUGGUGUAGACUUGAAGAUUAAAGUAAGAUAAUGUGGUUUAAGUAUCAAGGAAGAUGAAGCAUGUCUUGGGUAAUCCUAAGAGAUUGAGGAACAGAUAUGCUGCAAGAGUUGAUCUUAGUGCCUUUUUUCAAUACAGAAGCCUAGCGUUUUGAAAACUCACUGGACACCAAAAAAGGAAGAAUGCCAACUACUUAAGCAGGAAGGUGAAAGAUUCCAAACGAACAACAGGAAACACUUCAUCUCACCAGUGGUAAGAAUCUGGAAUCUGUUCCCUCGUGAAGCUAGGCCAAAGACAUUAAUAUGUUCAAGAAGGAUUUGAAUGAGUUGGUGGACAAAAAAAAAGCCUAACAACUCGGAUCAUUAUUUUACUUGGCCACAGCGCUCCUCUGGAAUGUUAUCCUAUCAGACUUUCACUGUCACCUCAUCCUCCGUGAGUCUUCUUUUAAGCUCUCAGUAGAGUGUGUUGUUUUGAAGCACUUUUGAUUCACAAUCAACAACGUGGGCCUAAUACAGGACUUUGGUGUGAUGGCUGCAUGUUGAACUUAAUUCACAGCCUAGUUAGUGUUAGCUAAAUGUAAGAACAAUUGACAAUCCAUUUAUCCUUUAGAAACACUUAUUUUGUGUUUCUCUUAGGAAAGACAAAAUCUCAGGAAUUCAUGACCAUCUUCUGUUCUAUCUUCCCUGAUUAAGCCCUUUUUUCUCUGACUUCCUCUCCCUUCUGCACUAUGUACUUGGAUCUAUAACUCUUUGGGCACUUGCUAUUUACCAUCUCUUUGGCCCCACAGAACUAAG